UACGUAGGGUGCAAGCGUUAAUCGGAAUUACUGGGUGUAAAGCGUGCGCAGGCGGUUUUGUAAGUCUGAUGUGAAAUCCCCGGGCUCAACCUGGGAAUUGCAUUGGAGACUGCAAGGCUAGAAUCUGGCAGAGGGGGGUAGAAUUCCACGUGUAGCAGUGAAAUGCGUAGAGAUGUGGAGGAACACCGAUGGCGAAGGCGGCCCCCUGGGUCAAGAUUGACGCUCAUGCACGAAAGCGUGGGGAGCAAACAGG
RNAcentral lists this ribosomal RNA (253 nucleotides) under uncultured bacterium. RNAcentral's name for it is "partial 16S ribosomal RNA". It matches the Rfam family "Bacterial small subunit ribosomal RNA", at positions 524 to 776 of the family's 1533-position model. The record is from RNAcentral.